GGAAAAACAAUAUGGUGAGAAGAGGGCCUGGCAUUGAGCCUUGAGGAACUUCAGAAAGAAAGAGAUAAGACUACCAAGGACACCCAGAAGAAGCAUUUUUAUGGUUGGAAAGUAUCUUUGUUGUUAUUAACUUGUUUAAAGCCAGUUUCUGUCAUCUUUAAAAACCACUUUUUGAAAACAAGGAAAUCAUUGUAUUUUCUGCUACAUCCCUGGCAUCUAGCACAGUGCCCAGCCUAUGGUAGACACAUAUAAGCUUAAAGAUGGUCAAAAUGGACUUAAAAAAAGAAAAUCAGAGAAAGAAAUAACUUCCAAUUGCCUGUUUGCAUGUAU
RNAcentral lists this long non-coding RNA (330 nucleotides) under Pan troglodytes (chimpanzee). Its description in RNAcentral is "long non-coding RNA NONPTRT011044". The record is from RNAcentral. Lineage: Eukaryota; Metazoa; Chordata; Mammalia; Primates; Hominidae.